This 914-nucleotide unclassified non-coding RNA is filed under the name Hevea brasiliensis (rubber tree). The record is from RNAcentral. Lineage: Eukaryota; Viridiplantae; Streptophyta; Magnoliopsida; Malpighiales; Euphorbiaceae.
AGGAGCUGUAGAUUUUUUCAUGGCAUUCGAGAAAUGAUCACUUGACAAGAAGCUUAUUUUAGAUUACAUUACGUUAUAAACAAGACACUGCAACACAAACAGAACAGAAAUUACAAGUCCUUAUUCUCUCUCAAACAGCAGAAAAUAUCAAGUCCUUUAUCUAUUAGCAGCUCUCAAAAUUCAGCCCUGAAAAAAUCUACAGCUCCUGUUUGGUGGCCUCACUUUUUUCGAGCUUGGCUGGUUCAGGUUUCUCUUCACCUGCAAUGCUAACAACUUUAGGACCUUUGAUCUUAUCUGCAGACAACUUGGAGAAACUUAAGGUAAGCACACCAUUUUCAAGCUUAGCUUUUACAGAGUCCAAAUCCACAUUGUCAGGCAACCUGAAUUGUCUCCAAAACUUGCCGUAAGAUCUCUCCACCCUGUGCCAGUGAUCCCCUUUCUUCUCUUCCUCUCUUUUCCUCUCUCCGCUCACUCUCAACACCCUAUUCUCCUCCACCUCAAUCUUCAGUUCCUCCUUUUUCAAACCAGGCACAUCUAGCGUUAUAACAUGACCAUCAGGUGUUUCUUUCCAGUCUACCCUGGCUAGAGAGAGUUCCACACUGUUAUCCCUUUCAAUCCCAAAUGGUAUGUGUUCCAAGACUCUAAAUGGAUCUGGGAGACGGUCUGACCAGAGAUCAGUCAGCAGACUUCCAGGACGAUCAACAAAUGGGAGAAGUGAUGCAUUGGCGGACCCAGGAAAGCAGAGCAAGAUCGAGAAGAAGCUGAUAAAGAAGGGCAGUAACAAUUGCUUCAUUUUUCUCUGUUUCUACUCUUGAUCUGUUGUUGCUUCUAGUGAUUGCUCUCUUUUAUGCAAAGGGUUUCGAUGGAGUGGAAGUAACAGUGUUGUUGCUAAGGUGUUUGAUGUUCUUGUGUGG